GGUUCGGUCUCUCGUGAUGGUUCCGGUCCGAACCGGGUCAGAUCGGGAACGAAGCAGCUCUAAGGUCACGGCACCAGGUGCGUGAGCCCGAGCCCUC
This 97-nucleotide signal recognition particle RNA is filed under the name Planctomycetota bacterium. RNAcentral's name for it is "signal recognition particle sRNA small type". It matches the Rfam family "Bacterial small signal recognition particle RNA". From Rfam's summary of the family: The signal recognition particle (SRP) is a universally conserved ribonucleoprotein involved in the co-translational targeting of proteins to membranes. Archaeal SRP consists of a 7S RNA and homologues of the eukaryotic SRP19 and SRP54 proteins. Lineage: Bacteria; Pseudomonadati; Planctomycetota. The record is from RNAcentral.